AUGCAGCCAUGCCGCGUGUAUGAAGAAGGCCUUCGGGUUGUAAAGUACUUCAGUCGUGAGGAAGGUUCAUACGUUAAUAGCGUAUGGAUUUGACGUUAGCGACAGAAGAAGCACCGGCUAACUCCGUGCCAGCAGCCGCGGUAAUACGGAGGGUGCGAGCGUUAAUCGGAAUUACUGGGCGUAAAAGCGCAUGCAGGUGGUUAGUUAAGUCAGAUGUGAAAGCCCGGGGCUCAACCUCGGAAUUGCAUUUGAAACUGGCUGACUAGAGUACUGUAGAGGGGGUAGAAUUUCAGGUGUAGCGGUGAAAAUGCGUAGAGAUCUGAAGGAAUACCGGUGGCGAAGGCGGCCCCCUCGGACAGAUACUGACACUCAGAUGCGAAAGCGUGGGGAGCAAACAGGAUUAGAUACCCUGGUAG
Molecule: ribosomal RNA, 416 nt
Filed under: uncultured bacterium
Lineage: Bacteria
Description: bacterial SSU rRNA
Rfam family: Bacterial small subunit ribosomal RNA
Source: RNAcentral